Molecule: ribosomal RNA, 481 nt
Filed under: uncultured bacterium
Lineage: Bacteria
Description: SSU rRNA
Rfam family: Bacterial small subunit ribosomal RNA
Source: RNAcentral
AGGACGAACGCUGGCGGCGUGCUUAACACAUGCAAGUCGAGCGGUGAUCCUCCUUCGGGAGGUGAGCAGCGGCGAACGGGUGAGUAACACGUGGGCAACCUGCCCCUCACACUGGGAUAACCUCGGGAAACCGGGGCUAAUACCGGAUAUGACCUCGAGCGGCAUCUCUUGAGGUGGAAAGCUCCGACGGUGAGGGAUGGGCCCGCGGCCUAUCAGCUUGUUGGUGGGGUAAUGGCCUACCAAGGCGACGACGGGUAGCCGGCCUGAGAGGGCGACCGGCCACACUGGGACUGAGACACGGCCCAGACUCCUACGGGAGGCAGCAGUGGGGAAUAUUGCGCAAUGGGCGAAAGCCUGACGCAGCGACGCCGCGUGAGGGAUGAAGGCCUUCGGGUUGUAAACCUCUUUCAGCAGGGACGAAGCGAAAGUGACGGUACCUGCAGAAGAAGCACCGGCUAACUACGUGCCGAGCAGCCGCGGU